Molecule: ribosomal RNA, 641 nt
Filed under: uncultured Pseudomonas sp.
Lineage: Bacteria; Pseudomonadati; Pseudomonadota; Gammaproteobacteria; Pseudomonadales; Pseudomonadaceae
Description: bacterial SSU rRNA
Rfam family: Bacterial small subunit ribosomal RNA
Source: RNAcentral
CCUUCGGGGUUAGUGGCGGACGGGUGAGUAACACGUGGGAACGUGCCUUUAGGUUCGGAAUAGCUCCUGGAAACGGGUGGUAAUGCCGAAUGUGCCCUUCGGGGGAAAGAUUUAUCGCCUUUAGAGCGGCCCGCGUCUGAUUAGCUAGUUGGUGAGGUAACGGCUCACCAAGGCGACGAUCAGUAGCUGGUCUGAGAGGAUGACCAGCCACACUGGGACUGAGACACGGCCCAGACUCCUACGGGAGGCAGCAGUGGGGAAUCUUGCGCAAUGGGCGAAAGCCUGACGCAGCCAUGCCGCGUGAAUGAUGAAGGUCUUAGGAUUGUAAAAUUCUUUCACCGGGGACGAUAAUGACGGUACCCGGAGAAGAAGCCCCGGCUAACUUCGUGCCAGCAGCCGCGGUAAUACGAAGGGGGCUAGCGUUGCUCGGAAUUACUGGGCGUAAAGGGCGCGUAGGCGGAUCGUUAAGUCAGAGGUGAAAUCCCAGGGCUCAACCCUGGAACUGCCUUUGAUACUGGCGAUCUUGAGUAUGAGAGAGGUAUGUGGAACUCCGAGUGUAGAGGUGAAAUUCGUAGAUAUUCGGAAGAACACCAGUGGCGAAGGCGACAUACUGGCUCAUUACUGACGCUGAGGCGCGAAAG